GAUGAACGCUGGCGGCGUGCCUAAUACAUGCAAGUCGAGCGAACAGACGAGGAGCUUGCUCCUUUGACGUUAGCGGCGGACGGGUGAGUAACACGUGGGUAACCUACCUAUAAGACUGGGAUAACUUCGGGAAACCGGAGCUAAUACCGGAUAAUAUUUCGAACCGCAUGGUUCGAUAGUGAAAGAUGGCUCUGCUAUCACUUAUAGAUGGACCUGCGCCGUAUUAGCUAGUUGGUAAGGUAACGGCUUACCAAGGCAACGAUACGUAGCCGACCUGAGAGGGUGACCGGCCACACUGGAACUGAGACACGGUCCAGACUCCUACGGGAGGCAGCAGUAGGGAAUCUUCCGCAAUGGGCGAAAGCCUGACGGAGCAACGCCGCGUGAGUGAUGAAGGUCUUCGGAUCGUAAAACUCUGUUAUUAGGGAAGAACAAACGUGUAAGUAACUGUGCACGUCUUGACGGUACCUAAUCAGAAAGCCACGGCUAACUACGUG
RNAcentral lists this ribosomal RNA (497 nucleotides) under uncultured Staphylococcus sp. Its description in RNAcentral is "bacterial SSU rRNA". It matches the Rfam family "Bacterial small subunit ribosomal RNA", at positions 28 to 507 of the family's 1533-position model. Lineage: Bacteria; Bacillati; Bacillota; Bacilli; Caryophanales; Staphylococcaceae. The record is from RNAcentral. RNAcentral also lists the same sequence under 1 other name.